Molecule: ribosomal RNA, 373 nt
Filed under: Apicomplexa sp.
Lineage: Eukaryota; Apicomplexa
Description: partial small subunit ribosomal RNA
Rfam family: Eukaryotic small subunit ribosomal RNA
Source: RNAcentral
AUUCCAGCUCCAAUAGCGUAUAUUAAAGUUGUUGCAGUUUAAAAGCUCGUAGUUGAAUUUUUGCUGCGGUGACCUUGCAUUGUUUUCCUUUGUUUGUGUUGCUACAGCAUUUUUCUUUGUACUACCUUCAUUGUGUAUGUACUCCGAUUGGUUUACUUUGAGAAAAAUAGAGUGUUUCAAGCAGGCUUACGCCUUGAAUACUGCAGCAUGGAAUAAUGCAAUAGACCUACUUUUCUGUUUCGUUGGUUUUGAGGAAUGAGUGAUGAUUAAUAGGGAUAGUUGGGGGCAUUUGUAUUCGACUGUCAGAGGUGAAAUUCUUAGAUUUGUUGAAGACAGACAACUGCGAAAGCAUUUGCCAAGGAUAUUCUCAUUA